UCAAGUGAAUAAGUGCAUAUGGUGAAUGCCUUGGCGAUUACAGGCGAUGAAGGACGUAGUAGCUUGCGAUAAGCUGCGGGGAGUGAGCAAACACACUUUGAUCCGCAGAUUUCCGAAUGGGGAAACCCGGCACUGUAGUGUCACCCGAGAGGGAGCGAACCCGGAGAACUGAAACAUCUCAGUACCCGGAGGAAAGGACAUCAAUA
This 206-nucleotide ribosomal RNA is filed under the name Schmidingerella taraikaensis. RNAcentral describes it as "partial Bacterial large subunit ribosomal RNA". It matches the Rfam family "Bacterial large subunit ribosomal RNA", at positions 3 to 230 of the family's 2925-position model. Lineage: Eukaryota; Ciliophora; Spirotrichea; Tintinnida; Rhabdonellidae. The record is from RNAcentral.